RNAcentral lists this unclassified non-coding RNA (327 nucleotides) under soil metagenome. Its description in RNAcentral is "partial contains 5.8S ribosomal RNA, internal transcribed spacer 2, and large subunit ribosomal RNA". The stretch from base 1 to 120 matches the Rfam family "5.8S ribosomal RNA", at positions 35 to 154 of the family's 154-position model. The record is from RNAcentral.
GAUGAAGAACGCAGCGAAAUGCGAUAAGUAGUGUGAAUUGCAGGCUUUAGUGAAUCAUCGAAUCUUUGAACGCACAUUGCGCCCUUUGGUAUUCCACUGGGCAUGCCUGUUCGAGCGUCAUCUACACCUUCGAGCCCUGCUCGGUGUUGGGUGUCUGUCUGUCCUGCAGACUCACCUCAAAUCCAUUGGCGGUGGCCCGCCUAGCUUCCUGUGCAGCGCAUGCAACUUGCGAGCUGUCGCGGGCCCACAUCCACCAAGAUCAUCGCGAUUUGACCUCGAAUCAGGUAGGGAUACCCGCUGAACUUAAGCAUAUCAAUAAGCGGAGGA